Long non-coding RNA from Passer domesticus (house sparrow), 2504 nucleotides. RefSeq lists it as uncharacterized. The transcript is spliced from 3 exons. NCBI's taxonomy places the organism in Eukaryota, Metazoa, Chordata, Aves, Passeriformes, Passeridae. The record is from RefSeq and is a predicted model, not a curated record.
UCCAGGGUGGCAUAAGCAAUGGCAAUGCCAUCGUGUGUGCUCGUGCCCCGGCCCAGCUCGUCCAGGAUCACUAGCGACCUCGAGGUGGCUCUUCUGAUGAUCUCAGCGGUGUCUGUCAGCUCCUCCAUGAAGGUGCUGCGGCCUUUGUAGAUGUUGUCUGCAGCGCCCAUUCUGCACCGGGACACAGAACACAAAAAUCUCAUUACCAAUGUCAGCUAAUGCUGGAAAAAAAUAAUCAUGGGCAUGAAACCAUUCUGUUAUGAUCUCUACAAACAGAGGAGAAGAAUGCAGGCAGAGCAUUCACCUUCCAGAACAGUCUCCCAGCUAACAUUUCUCCCACCUUCACAAAGAGCACAAGAUAGCCUGCUUUUCCCCCAAAAAGAACCCUGCACUUCAGACCAGUCAGCUCAUGAGAAUUCCUCCAAAGUCCUGCCCACAAGGAACGUGCAGACAGGCAGCAUGAGCAGCGUCUCUUUGGAUCCAUCACUCCCUCAGCAGAUGCAAUUUGGCUGGAAAACACUUGUUUUAAUGUCUCUUUGACAGCCAACCAAACCCUGCAAAAUUAAAAGCUCUUCAUCUUAUGGCGUUCAACACAUUUAUUAUGCAAACUAAAAAAAAAAAGAAGAAAAAAGAAGAAGAAGAAGAAGAGGAUAGAUUAUCUGUUUUCAGUGCUCGGUUCAAGUAGCACAGAUUCCUGGCAAAGGCCUCAGAAAAACCAGCAGAGAGGCAAUGUUUUGCAAGUUAAUUUUCAGAGGCCAGAGGAAAGAAGAACACCCAUGGACUCAAUCUUUUCAAAAGCUUCAGAUGGACUGACAGGACAGGUGGGACAGAAUCCCUGUCAGUCAAUCCAGGCCCUGAGACAUCAAAAGUUACCAGGACCCCUCAUCCCUAAACUCCAUGGACUAACAGAAACUCAGUUACUACUAAAGUUUAGGCCACUUUACCUAGUGAGGAACACCUAAUAAACUUGCUUGCUGAAAUUCAGUAAUGAUAAUCUCAGCAACAUCUGAACUUCUCAAAAAUACUUGUUGCAUUGUCUAGGGCAAAUUCAUCAUCACCUCUUAAAUUACCAGUGUAAAUGUUACUGAUGGGCAAGAGAAAGACCAGCUUGUGAGUGCAAACAUUUUGCUGAAGGAUAAAUUACAAAAGCAGAUACUCAAAUUAGGGCGUUUCUUUGAGAGUCAUCACUAUGAGCUGGAGGAAGGUGAAAAAACCGGAGACAAAUCAACACUUUAAAUAUGCACAGGUUUGCACUCACUGCUUGGGACACCAGGGAGGGAACUCAAGGUAAUUAAGUUAAUGUGCAUUUGUAGCUGAAGGAUUGAGGCCAGGAGGGAUUAAAGAGCAGGAACUAUAGCAACAGAGCAGGGACAAUGGCUGAAGCACUCAGCACAAGUGAACUUUUCCCCUUUAGACCUGUGGAUGCAAGGACAAUCCAAUUCCACCUGUGACUGGGUCAAGUCACAGGAUGGAAGAGUUUCAGAAAGGUAAAUACAGCCACUCCACCUCACUGUGAAACAGCUGGCUGGCUUUGCAGGCAGAUUUCCUCCUCCCCUCCCGGUGCAGCAGCCUGGGGAAAACCUCCCCAGCCCAGGAGGGGCAGCAGGAGUGCUCUGAGAGUCUCCCUGAGUGUGCACAGCUGCCCUGCACUGCCUGAGAGGGACUCCCAGGGCACAGUGCAGCCCCUGCACACACAAGGGCUGCUUGCAUUCACACUUCACCCAGCAACCAUGCAUGCACCCCAAAGGCUGUCUGGUUGAGUAUGGCAGUAUUCCAUCUAUAAGAGAUGCAAACCUCACACUGCAGACGCAUGUUUCUGUGAAAUGAACAGAGACAUGAAACCAAAUUAGCUGCAGAUACAUGCACAGCCUGGCUUAACUUGUUCCUACAGAGCCACAGAACACUGUCAGAAGCAAUUACAGUUCAAAUGCACUGUGAUACGUCCAAGACACAACUUUUCUACAAAAACAGAACAAAAUAAUUCUUCCAUUUAACAACACUAACUACAACUUUCACUUUUUUUUUUAUCCAAACCAAAGCUAUCUCCACAUGAUAAAAAAUAGUGCAAUGUACUUAAUACAGCACCCUGUUCUUCCCUGAAAGAUGGGAACAAUUGACCCCAGAAGUGCAAUUACAUGACUGAUUGUGAGCAUAAAUGAAAGGCUUAAGUAAUUCUUGUUACUCUGGCAGUAAACAAAAAUACAAUUAAGGAGGAACAAAAUGAAGCAAAUUACUGUGCCAUAAAGAAGUAACAUUUCUGAAAAUUACUUUGGGGUUAUUGACAGCUAAAAGUUCUGUUGGUCUGACUCAUUGUGCUUUCAAUACAAACAAUACUUUCUUGGCAUGUCAGUAUAUAAAAUUCUCAUGUGGACUUGCCAUUCACUUGGGAUUGCUUUGUGAGAACAGCUCCCUUCUUUUCUGCACAAUAAAUAAAUCAAUGUGCAUGGCAGAACCACGAAGCUUUACCACAUACAUACACAAUAAACCUGAAAAAGUACCUUUGA